GCAACAUCCAUGUGUGGAUUCAGGAAGCCGG
Molecule: non-coding RNA, 31 nt
Filed under: Mus musculus (house mouse)
Lineage: Eukaryota; Metazoa; Chordata; Mammalia; Rodentia; Muridae
Source: RNAcentral